GCCGGGCCAGUGGUGAGUGCCUAUAGUUCCAACUACUCAGGAGGCUGAGGCUGGAGGAUCAGUUGAGUCCAAGAGUUCUGGACUGUAGUGCGCUUUGUGGAUCAGGUGUCUACACUAAGUUCGGCAUCAAUAUGGGGGCCUCCCGGGAGCAGGGUACCACCAGGUUGCCUAAGGAGGGGUGAACCGGCCCAGGUCAGAAACAGAACAGGUCAAAACUCACAUGCUGAUCAGAGUGAAGUUGGCUAUUCAGCGCCUGUGAACAGACAACUGCACUCCAGCCUGGGCAAUAUAGUGAGACCCCGUCUCUA
Molecule: unclassified non-coding RNA, 308 nt
Organism: Callithrix jacchus (white-tufted-ear marmoset)
Lineage: Eukaryota; Metazoa; Chordata; Mammalia; Primates; Cebidae
Rfam family: Metazoan signal recognition particle RNA
About the family: The signal recognition particle (SRP) is a universally conserved ribonucleoprotein. It is involved in the co-translational targeting of proteins to membranes. The eukaryotic SRP consists of a 300-nucleotide 7S RNA and six proteins: SRPs 72, 68, 54, 19, 14, and 9.
Source: Ensembl